GACGAACGCUGGCGGCGUGCUUAACACAUGCCAGUCGAACGGAAAGGCCCUGCUUUUGUUGGUUGCUCGAGUGGCGAACGGGUGAGUAACACGUGAGUAACCUGCCCUUGACUUUGGGAUAACUUCAGGAAACUGGGGCUAAUACCGGAUAGGAGCUCCUGCUGCAUGGUGGUGGUUGGAAAGUUUCGGCGGUUGGGGAUGGGCUCGCGGCUUAUCAGCUUGUUGGUGGGGUAGUUGCUUACCAAGGCUUUGACGGGUAGCCGGCCUGAGAGGGUGACCGGCCACAUUGGGACUGAGAUACGGCCCAGACUCCUACGGGAGGCAGCAGUGGGGAAUAUUGCACAAUGGGCGGAAGCCUGAUGCAGCAACGCCGCGUGCGGGAUGACGGCCUUCGGGUUGUAAACCGCUUUCGCCUGUGACGAAGCGUGAGUGACGGUAAUGGGUAAAGAAGCACCGGCUAACUACGUG
This 468-nucleotide ribosomal RNA is filed under the name uncultured bacterium. RNAcentral's name for it is "partial 16S ribosomal RNA". It matches the Rfam family "Bacterial small subunit ribosomal RNA", at positions 28 to 507 of the family's 1533-position model. The record is from RNAcentral.